This 440-nucleotide ribosomal RNA is filed under the name uncultured bacterium. RNAcentral describes it as "partial 16S ribosomal RNA". It matches the Rfam family "Bacterial small subunit ribosomal RNA", at positions 338 to 795 of the family's 1533-position model. The record is from RNAcentral.
CCUACGGGUGACAGCAGUGGGGAAUAUUGCACAAUGGGGGAACCCCUGAUCCAGCGAAGCCGCGUGAAGGAAGAAGUAUUUCGGUAUGAAAACUUCUAUCAGCCGGGAAGAAAAUGACGGUACCUGACUAAGAAGCCCCGGCUAACUACGUGCCAGCAGCCGCGGUAUUACGUAGGGGGCAAGCGUUAUCCGGAUUUACUGGGUGUAAAGGGAGCGUAGGCGGUUUAGCAGGUCAGAAGUGAAAGCCCGGGGCUCAACUCCGGGACUGCUUUUGAAACUGUCGAACUGGAUUGCAGGAGAGGUAAGUGGAAUGCCUAGUGUAGCGGUGAAAUGCGUAGAUAUUAGGAGGAACACCAGUGGCGAAGGCGGCUUACUGGACUGUAAAUGACGCUGAGGCUCGAAAGCGUGGGUAGCAAACAGGAUUAGAUACCCCUGUAGUC